Molecule: small nucleolar RNA, 123 nt
Organism: Phodopus roborovskii (desert hamster)
Lineage: Eukaryota; Metazoa; Chordata; Mammalia; Rodentia; Cricetidae
Product: small nucleolar RNA SNORA40
Exons: 1
Source: RefSeq, a predicted model, not a curated record
UUUGUUUGUUUUGUUUUGUUUUUAUGGUGGACAAGGACUUACAGACAAGUAUAAAAGUAAGAUCUUUUUACAAGCCAGAACUCAUUGCUCAGUAUGAGCCUUGAUUAUAUAUGAAGGAAUAUG